AGAGUUUGAUCCUGGCUCAGGAUGAACGCUAGCUACAGGCUUAACACAUGCAAGUCGAGGGGCAGCAUGGUCUUAGCUUGCUAAGGCCGAUGGCGACCGGCGCACGGGUGAGUAACACGUAUCCAACCUGCCGUCUACUCUUGGACAGCCUUCUGAAAGGAAGAUUAAUACAAGAUGGCAUCAUGAGUUCACAUGUUCACAUGAUUAAAGGUAUUCCGGUAGACGAUGGGGAUGCGUUCCAUUAGAUAGUAGGCGGGGUAACGGCCCACCUAGUCUUCGAUGGAUAGGGGUUCUGAGAGGGAGGUCCCCCACAUUGGAACUGAGACACGGUCCAGACUCCUACGGGAGGCAGCAGUGGGGAAUAUUGGGCAAUGGGCGAAAGCCUGACCCAGCGACGCCGCGUGAGGGAAGAAGGUCUUCGGAUUGUAAACCUUUGUUGAUAGGGACGAACAGAUGACGGUACCUAUCGAGGAAGCCGCGGCUAACUACGUGCCAGCAGCCGCGGUAAUACGUAGGUGGCAAGCGUUAUCCGGAUUUACUGGGUGUAAAGGGUGUGUAGGCGGGAAAGCAAGUCAGAUGUGAAAAUUAUGGGCUCAACUCAUAACCUGCGCCUGAAACUACUUUUCUUGAGAGUCGGAGAGGUAAACGGAAUUCCUGGUGUAGCGGUGAAAUGCGUAGAUAUCAGGAGGAACACCGGUGGCGAAGGCGGUUUACUGGACGACAACUGACGCUGAGACACGAAAGUGUGGGGAGCAAACAGGAUUAGAUACCCUGGUAGUCCACACUGUAAACGAUGAAUGCUAGGUGUGGGGGCGAAAGCCUCCGUGCCGCAGCUAACGCAAUAAGCAUUCCACCUGGGGAGUACGGCCGCAAGGUUGAAACUCAAAGGAAUUGACGGGGGCCCGCACAAGCAGUGGAGUAUGUGGUUUAAUUCGAAGCAACGCGAAGAACCUUACCAGGUCUUGACAUCAAGUGACCGCCUAAGAGAUUAGGCCUUCUCUUCGGAGACACGAAGACAGGUGGUGCAUGGUUGUCGUCAGCUCGUGUCGUGAGAUGUUGGGUUAAGUCCCGCAACGAGCGCAACCCUUAUCAUUAGUUGCUACGCAAGAGCACUCUAAUGAGACUGCCGUUGACAAAACGGAGGAAGGUGGGGAUGACGUCAAAUCAUCAUGCCCUUUAUGACCUGGGCUACACACGUACUACGAUGGCGUUUAACAAAGAGAAGCGAAACAGCGAUGUGGAGCAAAUCUCCAAAAAACGUCUCAGUUCGGAUUGUAGGCUGCAACUCGCCUACAUGAAGUCGGAAUUGCUAGUAAUCGUAGGUCAGCAUACUACGGUGAAUACGUUCCCGGGCCUUGCACUCACCGCCCGU
RNAcentral lists this ribosomal RNA (1372 nucleotides) under uncultured bacterium. Its description in RNAcentral is "bacterial SSU rRNA". It matches the Rfam family "Bacterial small subunit ribosomal RNA". The record is from RNAcentral.